This 45-nucleotide non-coding RNA is filed under the name Trichobilharzia regenti. Lineage: Eukaryota; Metazoa; Platyhelminthes; Trematoda; Strigeidida; Schistosomatidae. The record is from RNAcentral.
GUACUGACAAAGAGUUCAAAAUAGGACGAAACAGAUGUCCAGUAC